This 253-nucleotide ribosomal RNA is filed under the name uncultured bacterium. RNAcentral describes it as "partial 16S ribosomal RNA". It matches the Rfam family "Bacterial small subunit ribosomal RNA", at positions 524 to 776 of the family's 1533-position model. The record is from RNAcentral.
UACGUAGGGCGCAAGCGUUAUCCGGAAUUAUUGGGCGUAAAGAGCUCGUAGGCGGUUUGUCGCGUCUGCCGUGAAAGUCCGGGGCUCAACUCCGGAUCUGCGGUGGGUACGGGCAGACUAGAGUGAUGUAGGGGAGACUGGAAUUCCUGGUGUAGCGGUGAAAUGCGCAGAUAUCAGGAGGAACACCGAUGGCGAAGGCAGGUCUCUGGGCAUUAACUGACGUUGAGGAGCGAAAGCAUGGGGAGCGAACAGG